GCCUUUAGACGAUAUAUAAGGUAAAAACCUAAGAAGUCUUCUCGCUAUCAGCACCCAAGCCUCAUCCUACGAUUCAGGCAACGCAGCAACUUAAGCGUACAGUAAACAAUAAUAUACACCAGUAAAAUGAAGUACUCUGUUGUCAUAUCACUACUCAUGGUCGUAUUCUGCGUGUAUCUCGCUGAUGCCGCUAGAGGGCGCACGGGACCUGGGUUCGGAGUCGGCAGAAGAAGUGACACACCUGACACGAAAGGUUUAGGAGUUAAAACAGUGUUGGCAGUUUGUCAGUUAGAUGAGCCCGGAUGUCGUUCACUUGAAGAAUACCAGCAACUCAUGAAAGGAACUGACGAUUUAACGGACUCUGCUUACAACGAUAUUUUCACGUCGUAAAACAAGAAAACAGUUACACUCUGCUUGUCCCCCUUUUCCACAAUGUAACAUCGUAAAUAUGGUCCAAUGAUUCGUGUAUAGGUUAGCUUGCAAAUGGAAUGGGAUAUAUUAGUAUCACGAAAGUUCGCAUUAAGAAUGUUCAUAUAAUAUAGUUUGAAUAAAUAAACAUAUUCGAUUGGUUAUUGAAUAUACUAUUAUGUAAACUAUCGGCUACUAUUUAUGCUAUGUUCUAUUUUUGAAGGUGUUUACUAUCUUUUUUCAAUUAUAAUAAGUCGUUGAUAUUGAGAAAAAACGGAAAUAUUAACGCAAAGUUUUUUUUUAAUCCACCUGUCAAAUACAUUGCCAAGUUGACAACAACGCCGACUGACAGAGUAACUAUUACAUGUACAUAUAUAGUUAUAUGAAUAGCGACCUCUACCGCCCAAUAAGUGAAGCAUCGUUGUCAUUCACUGAACACGAAUUGGUCUACAGAAGCAGAUAAUAAACUAUUGAUCUAUGUAAUAUAGAGGGCGCGUUUCAAAUUGUGAAAUCGCUCGUCAAUAAUAGAAUAAAGAUGCACAGUUGAUUCAAAUCAA
Saccoglossus kowalevskii is the source of this 965-nucleotide long non-coding RNA. RefSeq lists it as uncharacterized. The record is from RefSeq and is a predicted model, not a curated record. NCBI's taxonomy places the organism in Eukaryota, Metazoa, Hemichordata, Enteropneusta, Harrimaniidae.